AAGUCGUAACAAGGUUUCCGUAGGUGAACCUGCGGAAGGAUCAUCAAUGAAAUUUUCUUCAUUUCAUAUUAACAAGGGAAAGUUUUUUAUGACUUUCUCCAGUCCUUAACUUUUUAUUUGGGAAGUUGGAGUGAUUUUAUUUAUAAAGUCCUCCAAAUAUUCUAAACAAAUUUAUCAAAAUAGAAGAAAUUUCUAUUUUUACUUUUUUAAUUUUAUAAGUUUUAUUGAUUUUCAAUCAUAAAUACAACUUUUAGCAAUGGAUCUCUAGGCUCUC
This 274-nucleotide unclassified non-coding RNA is filed under the name fungal sp. RNAcentral's name for it is "partial internal transcribed spacer region". The stretch from base 1 to 46 matches the Rfam family "Eukaryotic small subunit ribosomal RNA", at positions 1786 to 1831 of the family's 1831-position model. The record is from RNAcentral. Lineage: Eukaryota; Fungi.